GAGCAAGUACAAUGUGGAUGACGUUUAGGCCUCUUGUCAUGCAGACAUGUUGUUCCACACUCCCUGUUGGCUCCAAUGUCUAGAGCUCGUUAUGCUGCCGCCCUGCCCUCUUUAAAGAAGGCAACGGCAGUCAUUGGUUCUGCUGUGGAUAUUGGACUAGGCGAGCACUGUGCACCAGAUGGGAUACUGGUGUUGGCAGUGCAUUCUCUCCCAUGGGGAGUAUAUAGAGUGGUUUGGUAGUUCAUUUGGCCUUGGGGAGGCACUGGUGGUACUACCCUUUGUUUCUUUUCCUGGAAGGUGCAGUUGGACUGGUAAGCCUGUUAGAGUCUUGUGUUCAUUUGGGGGAGCUUUUUUCAUCUCCUAUUAUUUUCACAGAUAUAACAUUGCUUACGGAGGGGCUGGGGGGGCUUGCUGGGGUGCAAGUAUCUGGUCUUGCCUAGGGUGCAAAAUAGCCUAGCACCAGCCCUGUUGCCAGUGACACUGUUUUGUCAUUGCUCACCAUAUUGUAUCUCUGGAGAAGCAGCAUUGCCACCCUAGGACAUGACUACAGAACACCACCCUUUCUCCUCUUCACGGUUACAUAAGGGAGGUGGAGGUUGUUUUGUAGUCCACACAGAGAGCUGGAAACAUUGUAACUGAUAACAGCCAGCAGAGGCACAUUGCAUAGGACAUUAGGAGCUUAAAUGAUUCUGGCAGGAUUAACAUAUAUUUUUAGGGUUUACAUACACUCAAAAAAUAAAUGUUACCAUUUUUUUUUCACUCUUCAGAGCUGCUGUUACGACAGAAGGUUGGAGGACAUACAGUAUGUAACGAGUGAAGCCCCCCAUCCUGGUAAAUCAGAUGUCAUUAGUGGAUCCCACAGACAGACACAGCAGGAGGAUCAGAAAAGAAAUGGCAGGAAGUUACUAAGAGAGCCAGUCGGCAGAGGAGUUUGUGCUGUUGGGAGGUAGAAGAGUUUGGAGAAAUGAACCAAGGAAAGUGCAAGCAUGAACAUUUUCAUGAAAAAGUUAACAAUAUACUAAUGACAAAAAUGGUUUAGUUCUAAUGAAAUCAUGAUGGACCUAUUAUUAAUUACUGUACUUCAACCAUGGAAGGCUAAUACCACCUGCAGUGCUGUUGGUUGAUGGCAAGCUGAACCAUCGACUAUCUUCUAUUUCUCAGAAACUAUAAUGAAAAUGAAUGUCACUGGAAUUGCUUAGUUCUGCUCAACUGCUAUGGCCAUUAAAAAGUCUACCAAUGUCACACCACUCUUUGGAUUUUCCACGAAGAAAUAACUGAAAUCCAUGUCACCACUGGCAGAAGUUUGAUACAGAAACUACUAUUGGGGAAUCUUGGCAUAUUAGCGAGACCUAAUCUCUGAGAGACCUAAUGCCUUGUAUACACAAUCGGAAUUUCCAAUGGAAAAAGUAAGACAGAAUUUUUUAAUCGGAUAUUCCAACCGUGUGUGUGCCUCA
Long non-coding RNA from Rana temporaria (common frog), 1454 nucleotides. RefSeq lists it as uncharacterized. The record is from RefSeq and is a predicted model, not a curated record. The transcript is spliced from 3 exons. NCBI's taxonomy places the organism in Eukaryota, Metazoa, Chordata, Amphibia, Anura, Ranidae.